Small nuclear RNA from Artibeus jamaicensis (Jamaican fruit-eating bat), 107 nucleotides. NCBI's taxonomy places the organism in Eukaryota, Metazoa, Chordata, Mammalia, Chiroptera, Phyllostomidae. The record is from RefSeq and is a predicted model, not a curated record.
GUGCUCAUUUUGACAGCAUAUAUACUAAGAUUGGAAUGAUACAGAGAAGAUUAGUAUGGCCUCUGAGCAAGAAUGAUAUGCAAAUUUGUGAAGCAUUAAAAAAAGUA